RNAcentral lists this ribosomal RNA (496 nucleotides) under uncultured bacterium. Its description in RNAcentral is "partial 16S ribosomal RNA". It matches the Rfam family "Bacterial small subunit ribosomal RNA", at positions 28 to 506 of the family's 1533-position model. The record is from RNAcentral.
GAUGAACGCUGGCGGCGUGCCUAAUACAUGCAAGUCGAGCGAACAGACGAGGAGCUUGCUCCUCUGACGUUAGCGGCGGACGGGUGAGUAACACGUGGAUAACCUACCUAUAAGACUGGGAUAACUUCGGGAAACCGGAGCUAAUACCGGAUAAUAUAUUGAACCGCAUGGUUCAAUAGUGAAAGACGGUUUUGCUGUCACUUAUAGAUGGACCCGCGCCGCAUUAGCUAGUUGGUAAGGUAACGGCUUACCAAGGCAACGAUGCGUAGCCGACCUGAGAGGGUGAUCGGCCACACUGGAACUGAGACACGGUCCAGACUCCUACGGGAGGCAGCAGUAGGGAAUCUGCCGCAAUGGGCGAAAGCCUGACGGAGCAACGCCGCGUGAGUGAUGAAGGUCUUCGGAUCGUAAAACUCUGUUAUUAGGGAAGAACAAAUGUGUAAGUAACUAUGCACGUCUGGACGGUACCUAAUCAGAAAACCACGGCUAACUACGU